GCGGUGGUAGUUCAACGGUAGAACGUCUCCUUGCCAAGGAGAAGGUUGAGGGUUCAAAUCCCUUCCACCGCU
This 72-nucleotide transfer RNA is filed under the name Candidatus Roizmanbacteria bacterium CG_4_10_14_0_8_um_filter_33_9. RNAcentral's name for it is "tRNA-Gly". It matches the Rfam family "tRNA". Rfam says of the family: Transfer RNA (tRNA) molecules are approximately 80 nucleotides in length. Their secondary structure includes four short double-helical elements and three loops (D, anti-codon, and T loops). Lineage: Bacteria; Candidatus Roizmaniibacteriota. The record is from RNAcentral.